RNAcentral lists this ribosomal RNA (1485 nucleotides) under Enterococcus durans. RNAcentral describes it as "bacterial SSU rRNA". It matches the Rfam family "Bacterial small subunit ribosomal RNA". The record is from RNAcentral. Lineage: Bacteria; Bacillati; Bacillota; Bacilli; Lactobacillales; Enterococcaceae.
GACGAACGCUGGCGGCGUGCCUAAUACAUGCAAGUCGUACGCUUCUUUUUCCACCGGAGCUUGCUCCACCGGAAAAAGAAGAGUGGCGAACGGGUGAGUAACACGUGGGUAACCUGCCCAUCAGAAGGGGAUAACACUUGGAAACAGGUGCUAAUACCGUAUAACAAUCGAAACCGCAUGGUUUUGAUUUGAAAGGCGCUUUCGGGUGUCGCUGAUGGAUGGACCCGCGGUGCAUUAGCUAGUUGGUGAGGUAACGGCUCACCAAGGCCACGAUGCAUAGCCGACCUGAGAGGGUGAUCGGCCACAUUGGGACUGAGACACGGCCCAAACUCCUACGGGAGGCAGCAGUAGGGAAUCUUCGGCAAUGGACGAAAGUCUGACCGAGCAACGCCGCGUGAGUGAAGAAGGUUUUCGGAUCGUAAAACUCUGUUGUUAGAGAAGAAUAAGGAUGAGAGUAACUGUUCAUCCCUUGACGGUAUCUAACCAGAAAGCCACGGCUAACUACGUGCCAGCAGCCGCGGUAAUACGUAGGUGGCAAGCGUUGUCCGGAUUUAUUGGGCGUAAAGCGAGCGCAGGCGGUUUCUUAAGUCUGAUGUGAAAGCCCCCGGCUCAACCGGGGAGGGUCAUUGGAAACUGGGAGACUUGAGUGCAGAAGAGGAGAGUGGAAUUCCAUGUGUAGCGGUGAAAUGCGUAGAUAUAUGGAGGAACACCAGUGGCGAAGGCGGCUCUCUGGUCUGUAACUGACGCUGAGGCUCGAAAGCGUGGGGAGCAAACAGGAUUAGAUACCCUGGUAGUCCACGCCGUAAACGAUGAGUGCUAAGUGUUGGAGGGUUUCCGCCCUUCAGUGCUGCAGCUAACGCAUUAAGCACUCCGCCUGGGGAGUACGACCGCAAGGUUGAAACUCAAAGGAAUUGACGGGGGCCCGCACAAGCGGUGGAGCAUGUGGUUUAAUUCGAAGCAACGCGAAGAACCUUACCAGGUCUUGACAUCCUUUGACCACUCUAGAGAUAGAGCUUCCCCUUCGGGGGCAAAGUGACAGGUGGUGCAUGGUUGUCGUCAGCUCGUGUCGUGAGAUGUUGGGUUAAGUCCCGCAACGAGCGCAACCCUUAUUGUUAGUUGCCAUCAUUUAGUUGGGCACUCUAGCAAGACUGCCGGUGACAAACCGGAGGAAGGUGGGGAUGACGUCAAAUCAUCAUGCCCCUUAUGACCUGGGCUACACACGUGCUACAAUGGGAAGUACAACGAGUCGCGAAGUCGCGAGGCUAAGCUAAUCUCUUAAAGCUUCUCUCAGUUCGGAUUGUAGGCUGCAACUCGCCUACAUGAAGCCGGAAUCGCUAGUAAUCGCGGAUCAGCACGCCGCGGUGAAUACGUUCCCGGGCCUUGUACACACCGCCCGUCACACCACGAGAGUUUGUAACACCCGAAGUCGGUGAGGUAACCUUUUGGAGCCAGCCGCCUAAGGUGGGAUAGAUGAUUGGGGUGAAG